GUAGGGAGUGCUGUUGGAAGUGGAGAACUGUAGACCUCAGCAAGGCCCCAGAGUCAAGGCAGCUCUGCCCGAGUGAUGGAGGGUAGAAGCAGAGGACACUGGCCAUGGGACUUCAAGAGACAAUAAGAAGCAGGCAGUGGUGAUAAUUUUUAAAAUUAUUCAUCAAUAAUACAUUUAGGUUUGCAGCCCACAUCAAGAACAAGCUUCUGUAAUUUUUUUUUUCCUGUAGUUGUUCCCAGAAAAGAGUAAAGCGAUUUUUCUCUCUGAAACAAAACAAAACAAAACAAAGAGUGCUACUUUGCAGGUCAAGGUCCUGAAUUCAGCAACAUUUGAAUACCAUCAACCAUAGAAGAAAAUGCAAUGGAAAGAAAGAGAGGGAGGAAGGAAGGAAUGGAGGAGGGGAGAGAAAGAGGAGAAAACAGCUAAAAUCAACCAUCAGUUGGCACCUUUCAGAGCGGCCUUCCAGCUUCCAGAAAACUCUUUUGCAUUCGGAGCACUUUCCUACAGGACUAAUCAGAGUGCCCAACCCGGUGCCUGCUUGUUACAUGAACGAACACACCUGUGAAACCAGCGAGGGCAGGCUCACAAAGCCUACCGCCCUGCAUUUGAGGGCUAUUACACCCACAGACGUAGUGUCAGCGUUGGAUUUCUUGGUUGCUACCACGUACGUACUGCAUUUGAGAAAUCAUUUAGAAGUGUGACUGCAAGAUAAAAUGUCAAUCUGACUCUGGGUUAACUGGUGUUUCUAAUUAAGCCGUGAUGUACAGUGCUUACAGCAAAAUACAGUAUGACUCCGGCGAUAAGUCAGCAAAUAGUCUGUUGCCUCCAUUAUCUCAUUCCCUGGCGUUUCCCUGAUGAGUUUAUAAAUCCCUGCGGAAUCACGGCCCCGAUCUCUUUAAUGAGGGCUUUAAAAACCAGUGGGGGCGGGAGGGAGCAUGGCAGCAGAUAAGAUCGCCUUUACUGUAUCUCUGCCUCGUAGAGCUUUCUCCCUACCUCCUGCAGCAAAGCAAAUACCAUUUGAUAGACCUCAGAGUCGAAUAAUUUCAUGUGUAUUGGCAGGGGCACGCGAUUAUGUUAAUUACUCGCACAGCCUAAGAACAUCCUGUCUUCCUUGAUCUGGUGGGAACAGAAAUGGGAACACUACUUUGUUCCAGUUAGGAGUGGGUGGCGUGGGAGAGCUUGGCUCCUGCAGCCCUGAACUCAGGGACAAUAAGCCUCUCCUGUCCAGUGUUUACUAAGUCCCUCCAAUGUGGUGAUUGCGCUGGCCCCUAGAGGCACCAUUUCUUCCUUGCUUUGUGACCUAAACACCUGUGGAUGUCACAG
Molecule: long non-coding RNA, 1323 nt
Filed under: Oryctolagus cuniculus (rabbit)
Lineage: Eukaryota; Metazoa; Chordata; Mammalia; Lagomorpha; Leporidae
Description: lncRNA (ENSOCUG00000037078.1)
Source: RNAcentral